GGAAGGAAGCGACGCUGCUCGCGGACGGUCUCCACGUUGGUCGGCAACAAUGGCGAUGACGUUGGCGAUGGUGCGACGGUGCGAUGUCGAAUUAAUUUUGUUUCCUUAUUUUACCAGGAGAUCAGCGUGGUGUGAUGACGAAUUAAUGUUGUUUCCUUAUUUACCUGGAGUACAGCGUGAUUGUAGGGGGUGGAUGGGGGGUGCUGGAGGUGGAGCACGGUCAGUCAAGGGUAUUUCCUAAGUCCACACCGUACAGGCAGCAAAUGAAUGAUGGCUGUUAGAUUUAGAUGUGCGGGUAUAAUUGUGUGGUGUUGAUUGUUCCGUGCGUUUUGUGGGACAAGUUGCCGGGUGUACUUAGCGAAGUUCUUGUUUGCUUGUUUAUUAGUAGUAGAGAAGAUGGAUGGAUGGAUGGCCGGAUGGAUGGCCGGAUGGAUGGCCGGAUGGAUGGAUAGACUAUAUUGACUAGAUAGACCGAUAGACAGAUAGAGAGACUACAUAGACUAAAUAGAUAGAUUAAUCCCCUCAAAAAAAAAGAUAGAUUAACUGUGUGACUCAUCGGUUUUGCAAAAUUAAGUUUUGCCACAAUAGUUUUU
Molecule: long non-coding RNA, 593 nt
Filed under: Triticum aestivum (bread wheat)
Lineage: Eukaryota; Viridiplantae; Streptophyta; Magnoliopsida; Poales; Poaceae
Description: long non-coding RNA (TAES_LNC028092)
Source: RNAcentral